UGAUACAUUUGUUCCUUAAAGUGUAUUUUUGAUAAGAAAAACCUUUUGUUUUUCCUUCAUUUAAUUUUUUGUUUUUUUCUUGGUAGAGACAGAGUCUUGCCAUGCUGUCCAGGCUGGAGUGCAGUGGUGUGAUCUCGGCUCACUGCAACCUCCACCUCCCGGGCUCCAGCAAUCCUCCCACCUCAGCCUCCCUAGGAGCUGAGACUACAGGUGUGAGCCGCCAUGCCUGGCUAAUUUUUAGAGACAGGGUUUCACCAUCUUGCCCAGGCUGGUCUCAAACUCCUGGGCUCAAGGAGUCCUCCUGCCUCAGCCUCCCAGAAUAUUGGGAUUAUAGGUGUGAGCCACUGCCAGAAAAACUUUUCUUAAGAUAAGGCAGGGUUUACAUUAUAUUUAGAUUUUUUUUUAAUGAUGUCUUUUUUGGCAGUGCACAGCCAGAGAACAACACAUCACACACAGGAAACAGUUGUGCUCAUGUGAUGGGGGCCUCAGCACUAGGAAGGAGUGGACUAUUGGCGCAUGUAGCAGCUUGAAUAAAUCUGAAAGUCACUACACUGCGUAAGAGAAGCCAAAUAAAAAAGUUCAUGCUGUGUACAGAGGGUGUUGAGAAUGCCUCCUACGUGACGGAAAGCAGAUCCGUGGUUCCCUGCAGACCGGCAGGAGCAGAUUCCAAAGGCACAGGAAGAAGCUUGCAGGUUGCCUGUUCACUCUGGCUAGUCAUAUGCAGAAAACUGAAACUAGACCCCUUCCUGACACCUUAUAUAAAAAUUAACUCAAGAUGGAUUAAAGAUUUAAACGUAAGACCCAAAACCAGA
RNAcentral lists this long non-coding RNA (812 nucleotides) under Pongo abelii (Sumatran orangutan). RNAcentral describes it as "lincRNA". The record is from RNAcentral. Lineage: Eukaryota; Metazoa; Chordata; Mammalia; Primates; Hominidae.